Molecule: long non-coding RNA, 1943 nt
Filed under: Haliotis rufescens (red abalone)
Lineage: Eukaryota; Metazoa; Mollusca; Gastropoda; Lepetellida; Haliotidae
Description: uncharacterized LOC124132248
Source: RNAcentral
GGUGGUAUUUUUGGUCUGUUGUUUAUGAAUGUGGCUUUUCUCAGAUUUUUUCCUGAAUUAUUGGUAGCUAGAUUAUUGUUAAGUACAUAGUAAAAUAAAUUAUGCAAGAAAAUAUUUGUAUAGGAUAUUUUAUCUUCAAAUUUGUUUUAAAUGUAUUCUUAAUCUCAAAUGACAAAUUAGGUCAAAAUGUUUUCUAAUGUAGUGAUAAUGGGUGUCUGCUUUCUGCAUGGUUAUGUCAGUGAUAAGAAAUGUCAUCGGUUCUGAGGAUCUUAGCUGUACAGAAAUAGAUGUGUUAUCUCCAUGAAAAGAUAGAUACCAUAUCUAUCAAGAACAAUGUCUUCAACUGAUCAAAACAUUUUAUACCCUCUGAUGACUUUUCAGUAAUUAAGAUCAUUUUAAAUGACUAUACACAAAAACAGUUCAUUAUUUUCUCAGAAUGCAAAGAAGAGAUUUUACAAACAGAAACGGACUCAGAAGCAAGUGGAUUCUAUUUGUUAAUUUUUGGUUUAAUUUAGAAACAGCCAAGAAAACUGAGAUGGCUUUGAAACCAUCAAUGGGUUGGACAUUAUGUGAGCAUGUGGGGCCUUGUACCAGCUGCAUGUGUGACGAGCACACACAUAAAACACAGGGAUAGCCCUUUACAAAAGUCACUGUUUUAGCAGGGCAACACAUUUAAUGGGUCAGCACAAUGUCAGGAGGUAUGUCUGUUGUUGUCAUAGUAACUAUACUUUUAAAAGAUAGGAAUUGUUUACUUAAAGUAACAAAAGUAUAAUUAUUAUUAUACAGAUUAAAAUAUAUAAAUGCAGCAAAGAGGACUCUUGUGACUCUAGUAAUAUUAUUAUUAUUAUUAUUUUUUAUUAUUAUUUUUUAUAUGUUUACUUUUAUUUUUUAUACAUUUAAACGGCAACAGAGGUUUACAAUAUUAUACAACUGUUAGGAACAAACAUUUCAGCCCAUAUUUAGCAGAUAUGGACAUUUAAAAAAGGACACACGAUCAUAUAUCAAUCUUUGUUUCCAGUCCAUGAAUAUGGGUUUUGGAAAACAUUAUUCUGUACCUACAGUCUUUAUGAGUUUGCACUGGUGGUUAUCAGUACUUAUUGGUAAAGUAGCAAUUUCAAAGAUAACAAACCUGCUAGCCCCUGAGUAUGUACACCUGUAAUGAAAGCAAUUACUAGCAUGAUGCUUCAAUUUAUUUUUUUCACUCAAAGAAGACAAUGAUAGGACUUAUAAGAGGUUUAUGAUUUCAGAUACUAUUAACAUGAUGAAUAAACAAUGACACAGAUUUUCAUCCAUAGUUUUCAAAUGGGUGUGGUUUUAUGGAAUUAUUAACUUUUUGUCAGUUUUCCACCACAAAAACUUUGACAAUUAAGUAAUUAUGCACAAAUAACAAAAUUUAUGGCUUAUCUGAAAAUGAAUAUAAAAUGUAUUUUAGAUGUUAUGGCAACACAGUGGUAGAAAGGAAAGAAUUGAUAUUUUGCACUAGAGCUGUUUUUCAUACAAUCUGGUACCAUUAACUCUGGGGUGUGGUGAUGAUAAUUCAUCAUCUAAACAUCUAAUUGGUAAAGCCUGGGUUUAAAUUUUUUGAAAGUGAGUUAUUCAUUUGAGAAAAAGAUAUUUCAGGAAGGACUGAUAGAUCUGCAUUUUAGAAAAAGUGCAGCUGGUUGAAAACUAGGAGGUUAAUUUAAAAGAAGAAGCCAUGCAAUUAUUUGAAUUAGGAUUGUGUGUUUCAGGGAAAUGGCGGCAUGGAAAAGUUCACUGAGAGUGGCAUGUUGGCUGAGUUAAAUUACAGUACAUUGUCUUCAGGGUCAUGCAUCAAUAAGAACAUGUUCAAAUGUCUAAUUAGUGAUGUUCUGGACUGAAACAUUACAGUAUCUUAAGGUUCUCCACAGCUGCUAUGAUGUCAUUGGAGUUAAAUUGGGUUCCAGCUUCUGCUGUCUUCAUUC